CCUAUUAAACCUUAAAUACAUCAGAACACUUCCUCCAUUAUCUACCAAGUGGAAGCCGGCCGAGUUUAACUCAUAUUGAUCUCCUCUGCACCGUGAGGAUACAAACAAUGUGAUGAAAAAAUUGUGAAGAUACGUUUUUGCCCCUGGAUGCUCCCUACGGUUGACUUGAUGAUACAGCACCCACCCUCGCCAAAUUUCUUCUCUGACUUUGGGAGAUCAACAAUGACAGCUGCCCCACCCUGCUCUCCUCUUUGUACUGGGGAGGGGAAGCCACUUCAAGGAGCACAAGUGAAGAAAUGAGACACGAAAUGAGCCCCGUAUGACACGCAGCUUGGUGAAAAAACAAUGGAGGUGUGCGUGAAGGGGUGCUGAGUGUUUCUCUCUGCGUUUCUUUUUUGUUUCAGUAGCUUUAUUCUGUCCUGACUCCAUUCGGGUACAGUCAGAAUAGAGUACAACCCAAUAAAAAACUAUGGUCAGGCCCUGGCUGGGUAGCUCAGCUGGUUAGAGCAGCAUCCCAAUA
Phyllostomus discolor (pale spear-nosed bat) is the source of this 520-nucleotide long non-coding RNA. RefSeq lists it as uncharacterized. The record is from RefSeq and is a predicted model, not a curated record. Lineage: Eukaryota; Metazoa; Chordata; Mammalia; Chiroptera; Phyllostomidae. The transcript has 3 exons.